AACAAACUAAAGAUAUCAUAUUCCACAGAGAUGACUUCGUGUCCUCUACUUCCUGUUUCUGAUACUGACUCUGGGCUACUGAAACUGCUGUUAUCUCUACUCUCCAGACUCAGUCAGGUCCAGGUUGGUACUCUAUUGCAACUCCUGUUAUCUCGACUGUCCAGACUCAGUCAGGUCCAGGUUGGUACUCUAUUGCAACUCCUGUUAUCUCUACUGUCCAGACUCAGUCAGGUCCAGGUUGAUACUCUACUGUCCAGACUCAGUCAGGUCCAGGUUGGUACUCUACUCUACUGUCCAGACUCAGUCAGGUCCAGGUUGGUACUCUACUCUACUGUCCAGACUCAGUCAGGUCCAGGUUGAUACUCUACUGUCCAGACUCAGUCAGGUUCAGGUUGAUACUCUACUCUACUGUCCAGACUCAGUUGGGUCCAGGUUGGUACUCUACUCUACUGUCCAGACUCAGUCAGGUCCAGGUUGGUACUCUACUCUACUGUCCAGACUCAGUCAGGUCCAGGUUGGUACUCUACUCUACUGUCCAGACUCAGUCAGGUCCAGGUUGAUACUCUACUGUCCAGACUCAGUCAGGUUCAGGUUGAUACUCUACUCUACUGUCCAGACUCAGUUGGGUCCAGGUUGGUACUCUACUCUACUGUCCAGACUCAGUCAGGUCCAGGUUGGUACUCUACUCUACUGUCCAGACUCAGUCAGGUCCAGGUUGAUACUCUACUCUACUGUCCAGACUCAGUCAGGUCCAGGUUGAUACUCUACUCUACUGUCCAGACUCAGUCAGGUCCAGGUUGAUACUCUAC
Long non-coding RNA from Oncorhynchus kisutch (coho salmon), 809 nucleotides. RefSeq lists it as uncharacterized. The record is from RefSeq and is a predicted model, not a curated record. NCBI's taxonomy places the organism in Eukaryota, Metazoa, Chordata, Actinopteri, Salmoniformes, Salmonidae. The transcript has 3 exons.